This 837-nucleotide unclassified non-coding RNA is filed under the name Brasilonema santannae BLCC-T64. Its description in RNAcentral is "partial contains 16S ribosomal RNA, 16S-23S ribosomal RNA intergenic spacer, and 23S ribosomal RNA". The stretch from base 1 to 156 matches the Rfam family "Bacterial small subunit ribosomal RNA", at positions 1380 to 1533 of the family's 1533-position model. Lineage: Bacteria; Bacillati; Cyanobacteriota; Cyanophyceae; Nostocales; Scytonemataceae. The record is from RNAcentral.
UUUGUACACACCGCCCGUCACACCAUGGAAGCUGGUCACGCCCGAAGUCGUUACCCUAACCCCUCGGGGAGGGGGACGCCGAAGGUAGGACUGGUGACUGGGGUGAAGUCGUAACAAGGUAGCCGUACCGGAAGGUGUGGCUGGAUCACCUCCUUUUUAGGGAGACCCACUUUUGAGUUUGUGCUCAACAGUUUGCGAAAAACAACUGACGAGUGAGAAAAAGAACUCAAGAGCCAUCCCGAGGUCGACCGCAAUUUUUGGAGUGUCAGCUUUCAAACUAUAAGUAAGGUUCGGAUAUGGGCUAUUAGCUCAGGUGGUUAGAGCGCACCCCUGAUAAGGGUGAGGUCCCUGGUUCGAGUCCAGGAUGGCCCACCUGAAGUGAAUUCAAAAGUCAAUUUGAAUAACUUUUGAUUGUGUGAUUGAAAGUUUGAAAUUUGAAGUUUGAAUAGUAGUAGGGGGGUAUAGCUCAGUUGGUAGAGCGCCUGCUUUGCAAGCAGGAUGUCAGGAGUUCGAGUCUCCUUACCUCCACCUGCGCCAAUGAUUUUGUGAUUCCACACAGAGUGUACUCAAAAACCAGCAAAGGAAACACAGUGCAAUCUCAAGUGAGAAAAACAAAAGCAAAGUAAGUAUCCGAAAGGAAAACAGUGGUUAAAAUUCAGCAUCUUGUGAAGUCAAGCAAGACUGCUGGACAUUAUCCAGCAAAAGAACCUUGAAAACUGCAUAGAAACGCGAAAUUUGUCAGGUAGUUAACUAAAAACAGUUAACACUCCAAACAAAAACACCAAACAAAGUAGUCAAGCAAGAAAAGGCGAAUGGUGGAUACCUAGGCACACAGAG